This is a long non-coding RNA of Rhineura floridana, 1531 nucleotides long. RefSeq lists it as uncharacterized. Lineage: Eukaryota; Metazoa; Chordata; Lepidosauria; Squamata; Rhineuridae. The record is from RefSeq and is a predicted model, not a curated record. The transcript has 3 exons.
CGCCGCCGCCUCUCUGUACCCGAACACCGGGGGACACAGCGGCUCGCCCUGUCCUGUCCCGGCUUGCCCUGCGCUCCGCUCCCGGCGCGCACUUACCCAGGCACUUGAUUCGAAAGCCCGCGGGGGGCUUGAGGGACCUGCGCAUCCAGCCCUCGCGCAGCACCUCCAGGUGCUCCUCCUUGCCCUGGAUCAGCAGCACCUGCUCGUCGAUCCAGCCCAGGAAGAAGGUCUCGGCCACCGCCGCUGUCACUUUCUUGUUCCAGAAAUGCUGCAUAUUCUCCUGCUUGAAGUCAGCGAAUAUCUCGUAGCCGAUGUGGUGGCGCUCCAGCGAAUCGGCGGCGGGUGGCGGUCCCGGCCCUCCCCCGGCUGGUCGCUGCCGCUUGCCCUCACCUUCCCCGUCCUCCUGCAGCUCCUCAGCGCAGUCCUCCUGCAGCUCCUCUCUUAGUUGCCUGGCCGGCUGCGAGGCUGCCUUCUCCCCGCCGCAGGAGCUCAGGACGAUGGCCAAGGAGUGCGGAGCAAUUUGCAAGAACUUCUCCAUCCUGCGAGGCAUCGCUGCGCCGGAGGAUACUUAAAGGGAGACGCUGUGUGCAGAAGCAACAGUAGCAGCAUGCUGCCCAGCCAUGAGCGUUCGACCACUGUACAGUGCAGCAGCUCAGCCAGGACCGCCCCGCCGGGCCAGUGGCAGGUUCAGCGAUUCUCCGCCUUCCCUCCGCUGCACGUGUGCGCCCGGCCCGCCUCCCGGCCAAGGGUCCCUCUGUGGCACCGCCCUCGGCGGUCGGCCCUCUCCCCUGCCCGAGCUCCUCAAGGGCCCUCCUGCUCCAUGACAGGGGGCGUGAGCUGGGCCGCUUUUGGAGAACGCGCGCAGCCUCCCUUUGCCAGCAGAUAAACAACAUAACUUUUGAUGACUACUCUUGUUGAAACUGGUCUAAAUGAAUUUAAGCAUAUAUGUGAGAAAGAAAAUGUUAAGAAAGGACGUUUAUCCUGAUGUUCAGUCAAAAUCCAGCUUCCUGCAACUUGAGCCCAUUAUUCCGUGUCCUGCACUCUGGGAUGAUCAAGAAGAGAUCCUGGUCCUCCUCUGUGUGGCAACCUUUGAAGUACUUGAAGAGUGCUAUUAUAUCUCCCUUCAGUCAUCUCUUCUCAAGGCUAAACAUGCCCAGUACUUUCAAUCUCUCUUCAUAGAGCUUUAUUUCCGAUCAUCCUUGUUGCCCUCCUCUGAACCUGUUCCAGUUUGUCUGCAUCCUUCUUAAAGUGUGGUGUCCAGAACUGGAGUCGGUAGUCAAGAUCAGGCCUAAUCAGUGCCGAAUAGAGGGGAACUAAUACUUCAUGCAAUUUGGAAAUGAUACUUCUGUUAAUGCAGCCUAAAAUAGCAUUUGUCUUUUUUGCAGCCACAUCACACUGUUGGCUCAUAUUCAGCUUGUGAUGAACAACAAUUCCAAGAUCCUUCUCAAAUAUAGUGUUGCUGAGCCAAGUAUCCCCGAUCUUAUAACUGUGCAUUUGAUUUCUUCUUCCUAGGUGUAGAAAUUUGCACUUA